CAUCGGUGACACGACCCAACCCAUACCAAGCAUCUUCACAUCUACCAUGACCGAGGCUUUGCCCUUUAGUAAUUUCCUUGUCGGUCUGCCCGUACAGGUAUCUAGGAUUAUUGAUGGUGACAUGGAUGAUUCCUGUGGUCUGGAGAAGGUUGCUUCCAGUCACUUGCCUAGCUAAAUGCCAAUGCAUGAGAUAGCAUUUGCGUCAACUGAUAAGUCAGAGCUACUUAGUCAUGUAAACAAACUUAGAGGACAUGGUGAGCCAAGGUGAGCC
Triticum dicoccoides is the source of this 271-nucleotide long non-coding RNA. RefSeq lists it as uncharacterized. NCBI's taxonomy places the organism in Eukaryota, Viridiplantae, Streptophyta, Magnoliopsida, Poales, Poaceae. The record is from RefSeq and is a predicted model, not a curated record. The transcript is spliced from 4 exons.